RNAcentral lists this ribosomal RNA (860 nucleotides) under Escherichia coli. RNAcentral describes it as "partial 23S ribosomal RNA". It matches the Rfam family "Bacterial large subunit ribosomal RNA", at positions 609 to 1473 of the family's 2925-position model. Lineage: Bacteria; Pseudomonadati; Pseudomonadota; Gammaproteobacteria; Enterobacterales; Enterobacteriaceae. The record is from RNAcentral.
UGUAUAAUGGGUCAGCGACUUAUAUUCUGUAGCAAGGUUAACCGAAUAGGGGAGCCGAAGGGAAACCGAGUCUUAACUGGGCGUUAAGUUGCAGGGUAUAGACCCGAAACCCGGUGAUCUAGCCAUGGGCAGGUUGAAGGUUGGGUAACACUAACUGGAGGACCGAACCGACUAAUGUUGAAAAAUUAGCGGAUGACUUGUGGCUGGGGGUGAAAGGCCAAUCAAACCGGGAGAUAGCUGGUUCUCCCCGAAAGCUAUUUAGGUAGCGCCUCGUGAAUUCAUCUCCGGGGGUAGAGCACUGUUUCGGCAAGGGGGUCAUCCCGACUUACCAACCCGAUGCAAACUGCGAAUACCGGAGAAUGUUAUCACGGGAGACACACGGCGGGUGCUAACGUCCGUCGUGAAGAGGGAAACAACCCAGACCGCCAGCUAAGGUCCCAAAGUCAUGGUUAAGUGGGAAACGAUGUGGGAAGGCCCAGACAGCCAGGAUGUUGGCUUAGAAGCAGCCAUCAUUUAAAGAAAGCGUAAUAGCUCACUGGUCGAGUCGGCCUGCGCGGAAGAUGUAACGGGGCUAAACCAUGCACCGAAGCUGCGGCAGCGACGCUUAUGCGUUGUUGGGUAGGGGAGCGUUCUGUAAGCCUGCGAAGGUGUGCUGUGAGGCAUGCUGGAGGUAUCAGAAGUGCGAAUGCUGACAUAAGUAACGAUAAAGCGGGUGAAAAGCCCGCUCGCCGGAAGACCAAGGGUUCCUGUCCAACGUUAAUCGGGGCAGGGUGAGUCGACCCCUAAGGCGAGGCCGAAAGGCGUAGUCGAUGGGAAACAGGUUAAUAUUCCUGUACUUGGUGUUACUGCGAAGGGGGGAC